UACGUAGGGGGCAAGCGUUGUUCGGAAUCACUGGGCGUAAAGGGAGCGUAGGCGGAGUCGUAAGUUAGGAGUUUAAUCACCGGGCUUAACCCGGGGCUGGCUUUUAAUACUGCGAUUCUUGAGUAGGGAAGAGGGAGAUAGAAUUCCAGGUGUAGCGGUGGAAUGCGUAGAUAUCUGGAAGAAUACCAGUAGCGAAGGCGGUCUCCUGGUACCAUACUGACGCUGAGGCUCGAAAGUUAGGGGAG
This 245-nucleotide ribosomal RNA is filed under the name uncultured bacterium. RNAcentral describes it as "partial 16S ribosomal RNA". It matches the Rfam family "Bacterial small subunit ribosomal RNA", at positions 524 to 768 of the family's 1533-position model. The record is from RNAcentral.